Molecule: long non-coding RNA, 202 nt
Filed under: Mytilus galloprovincialis (Mediterranean mussel)
Lineage: Eukaryota; Metazoa; Mollusca; Bivalvia; Mytilida; Mytilidae
Source: RNAcentral
GCCGUUGUUUUGUUUAUAUAAUUAUUUGAAAGUUUUUUUGCGGUACUUAUCAAUUAUAACUAGGUUUACGAGGCUAAUCAGAAAACAAGGAUAACUAUAUUUUAGUAUUUUGAGGUGGUUAAGAAUCAUGUAAGCAUUUCACUUGACAAAGAUAAAACAAAAAUCGCCUAUACGGCUCGUAGCCUCGUAGCAAUUGUUAUAU